UCAGGAUGAACGCUGGCGGCGUGCUAAUACAUGCAAGUCGAGCGAACUGAUUAGAAGCUUGCUUCUAUGACGUUAGCCGGCGGACGGGUGAGUAACACGUGGGCAACCUGCCUGUAAGACUGGGAUAACUCUCGGGAAACCGAAGCUAAUACCGGAUAGGAUCUUCUCCUUCAUGGGAGAUGAUUGAAAGAUGGUUUCGGCUAUCACUUACAGAUGGGCCCGCGGUUGCAUUAGCUAGUUGGUGAGGUAACGGCUCACCAAGGCAACGAUGCAUAGCCGACCUGAGAGGGUGAUCGGCCACACUGGGACUGAGACACGGCCCAGACUCCUACGGGAGGCAGCAGUAGGGAAUCUUCCGCAAUGGACGAAAGUCUGACGGAGCAACGCCGCGUGAGUGAUGAAGGCUUUCGGGUCGUAAAACUCUGUUGUUAGGGAAGAACAAGUACAAGAGUAACUGCUUGUACCUUGACGGUACCUAACCAGAAAGCCACGGGUAACUACGUGCCAGCAGCCGCGGUAAUACGUAAGUGGCAAGCGUUAUCCGGAAUUAUUGGGCGUAAAGCGCGCGCAAGCGGUUUCUUAAGUCUGAUGUGAAAGCCCACGGCUCAACCGUGGAGGGUCAUUGGAAACUGGGGAACUUGAGUGCAGAAGAGAAAAGCGGAAUUCCACGUGUAGCGGUGAAAUGCGUAGAGAUGUGGAGGAACACCAGUGGCGAAGG
RNAcentral lists this ribosomal RNA (718 nucleotides) under Bacillus sp. RO(2010). Its description in RNAcentral is "bacterial SSU rRNA". It matches the Rfam family "Bacterial small subunit ribosomal RNA", at positions 24 to 721 of the family's 1533-position model. Lineage: Bacteria; Bacillati; Bacillota; Bacilli; Caryophanales; Bacillaceae. The record is from RNAcentral.